Molecule: ribosomal RNA, 490 nt
Filed under: uncultured bacterium
Lineage: Bacteria
Description: bacterial SSU rRNA
Rfam family: Bacterial small subunit ribosomal RNA
Source: RNAcentral
GAUGAACGCUAGCGAUAGGCCUAACACAUGCAAGUCGAGGGGCAUCACAUGAAGUAGCAAUACGGAUGGUGGCGACCGGCGCACGGGUGAGUAACACGUAUGCAACCUGCCUUCAACAAGGGGAUAACCCGUUGAAAGACGGACUAAUACCCUAUAACACAGGGGUCCCGCAUGGGAAUAUUUGUUAAAGGACAACCGGUUGAAGAUGGGCAUGCGUUCCAUUAGCUAGUUGGCGGGGUAAGGGCCCACCAAGGCAACGAUGGAUAGGGGAACUGAGAGGUUUAUCCCCCACACUGGUACUGAGACACGGACCAGACUCCUACGGGAGGCAGCAGUGAGGAAUAUUGGUCAAUGGACGCAAGUCUGAACCAGCCACGUCGCGUGAAGGAAGACGGCCCUACGGGUUGUAAACUUCUUUUAUACGGGAAUAAAGUGCCCCACGCGUGGGGUUUUGCAUGUACCGUAUGAAUAAGGAUCGGCUAACUCCGUG